RNAcentral lists this long non-coding RNA (6231 nucleotides) under Taeniopygia guttata (zebra finch). RNAcentral describes it as "lncRNA (ENSTGUG00000021353.1)". Lineage: Eukaryota; Metazoa; Chordata; Aves; Passeriformes; Estrildidae. The record is from RNAcentral.
GAGCCAAACUGCACUUUGGUAUGGGGAGUCUCGAGAAACAGUGUGCGCAGGCAGCAUUAGCCCCAGAGGCUGGCAAGGCGGCUGAAUGGAUGCAGACGAGCUGCUCUCCCCAAGCGGGCGGGCUCUGCCAACACCUGUGAAGUGAAAACCCGUCUGCGCCGCAGAUCUUCUGUGUUGUACUGGACCCAGCCCUUUCCAGCUGAGCUGUGGUGACCCUAAACACUGUCCUGAGAUAUGUUUUGGGGCUGCUGUCUGGGCUCUGGUGCUACUUGCAGCUGCUCUUGAAUAUCUUCAACUGAUCAUCAGCUGGAAUAGCUGAAGUGAAACAAACUUCCCAUGAUCCACCUACCUUGAAGAACAGAAUCACUCUGUGAGUGAGAAAAGCCUGACUGCUGGCUGCCUUUCUUGCCUUCCAAAUCUUAGAGCAGUGAGAAAUGGAGACAUGGUUUGGGUCAGCAUCCAGAUUGAGGCAAUGAGAGGUGAAGUGUCUUGGUAAGUAACGUUUUUUUUCCAUUUUCUUUGUCCAAUCUUCCUGUUGCUCUCUGAUGUUUCUUCCUGUUUGUCUUCUUUCCAACAUUUCUGCCUCACUUACUAGUCCCUUUCUCACUGUCUCCUAUCUAUCUUUCAACCAUCUUUCUCCAUUUAUUCUUCUCCAACAAUUGCACUGAAAAGAGACCACGGUAGAAAUUAUUUUUACUUUGGCAGCCACUUUUUAUUUUUAUCUUUUCCCUGAAUAUCUGGGAUGGGUCCAGGCAGCUCUCCCCACUUUCAUCAUCUCUCUUCACAUCCCUUGUGACCCUGAGCUCUAGUCAGCAAUCUGAUGUCUGCCAUGAGAGCACCUCCCAUUAUCCAAAGCCACAAUCAGACUAAGGUGUUGUAACACUGUGUGUUGCUUUACUUACCACACUUGCUCUGCCGCUUUCUAGGAACUGCACACCUGUGCCAGGUUUUUCUCACAGAAUAAUAAUGACAGCACUGUCGCCUUUUGCACGUCUCUCCUCCUUGCUCCUGUGCCCAUCUUCCUCUCCUGAGCUUUGUGGUUUGGUCUCCUGGUGCAGUGCAGCCAGGAUAUGGGAGACUUGUAUUUAGGCUGUGCCUGAGGCAGUUUGAACUUGAAUCUCUUGCCCCUUGAAUUUGCACCCUGCCCAAGAGAUUAUCAACUCUUCUGUGAGGAGCGUGACCUGAGCCCUUUAAGUGGGAAAGCUUGAGCUUGACUUUUCAGUCUUGAAGUGGAGACACUCACCUGCCUGGGGAAACCACGUCUGCCAGGGCCUGCCCCAGUCAAUAUUUAAAUGCAAGUAUGGAGGUAUUCCCUGGAAGACAGUAGCAAACCCCAGGUUUCUUGCUGUCAGUAGUGCUUUGAGAACAACCACACAGAACAAUCAAUUUAAUCCAUUUAAUUAUUCCAUAUGAGCUGGAACAGCUCCAACAGGAUGGACUGGAGAAAGACUCUGCUCAACAAGAUCCUUUUGGAGCUGUGCUGAGCUCACUUGGCUGCCAUGGGUCAGUUCCCUCAUACCCCAGAGCAGCCAUGGAGCUGCCUCAGCACCACUGAUUUGACAUAGUGAGGACGUGUGGAGACUGGAGGGGAGGGAAGUGUGCUCCUCCACUCUGUUAUCCACGGUGGCAGGUUUGUAGCUGUAGCUGAAACACACACCUGCCAGUGCUGCCUCAGUUACUGCUCUGGACAGGCAUGGCAGCAAAUAUGUGGUGGAGGGAAAAGAAUUCUAUUAAAAGACAGGGCAGCACACUGGAGCAUUACAAGACAAAUUGCUUUUAAAGGUGGAAAUACAAUAAAAAUAGACUAAAGAGUCUUAAAAUACAAAAUCAAUGCCAAAACAGAGAAAGCCAGAAUGACUUCCAGAACUCAGCUAUAGGCAGUUGUCCCCCAGUAUAAGCCAGAUACUGUCAGUGUGUGGGAGACAUCCAGGAAUUUUCUUUCCUACAAAAAUAUUAGGAACAUUAUAUGUUUUAACUGUAAUGGAAAACUAGAGCUCUAGUGCUCAGUUCCAAAGAAGAACUCUAACCAUUAGAAGUGAUGUGGUACAGGGUGUGUGUGUGUGUGUGUGUGUGGCUGCUCCUUUUCUCCUCGAGAUUCUAUAGCUUCCUUCAUUCUUCGCUUCUCUCAUAUUACAGAAAGAAGGUAAUUUUUCCUGGCCAUUUACUAAAGCUCAUUAAAGACUGAAGAGAACAAACAAUGCUAUUCCUUAGAGACUACCAUUCAAAGUCAUUCUACAAUUCUCUGUUCUAAUACUUGAGACAAAUUAAUUAUUCCUUAGUGAAAAGUGUAUAAUUCCUAUUCUUCAUUUUUGGGGUGGGGAGUGGGGAAUAAUAAUAGGAAGUUUAUAUCUGAGUCAAAAGCUGUCUGAGCUGAAGGGAAAUGAGAAAAAAUGUGUGUUCCAAGAAGAGUAAAAGCAAUUACUCUAAUAAUAAUUCUAGGGAUAUUAAUGUCUUUUUAAAGUAAAUUGCUUUCAAAUAAACACCAAAGUUGAAGGCAUAGGAAAGGCUGGUUUAUUUAUUAAUCAUUCCAAACGUGCAUUUUUCUAAAUGAACAAGUGCAUGAGCAACUUCGCUGGCACAUAUUAAAUUUAGUUAAACGGCAACUUGUAAAUAUCUAAAAACUUCUGUAACCAGAGACUAAUUUGUUUAACGUGUUGAAAAUGUUCUGUGGAUGUGAGGAGCUACAUAUUAAACUUCAAAGCAAAAUGCUCCAGAGAUUACACCAUCUUAAAGACUGCAUAUUGGAAAGGCCUUUAUACAUUAAACAUAAAGGACUUUUAAUUCUCUUCUAUUUUGAAUACUUGUCAAUCUGUGUGACUCACGCUUAAGAUUGUAAACUAUCAUUUUAAGGUGUAAGGUCCAAGUUGAGACCUGGACCAUGAUUUGCAAGGGGCUGGCUUUUCUCUUUCAUCUCUAUUAAUUAAUCCUGUUUCAGUUUGCCCAGCGUACACUUCUGUUGACAUCACCUUUUCCAUAUACUUUAAAGAGUCCCCAGAGAGAUCUACUGCAGAACAAAAACUGGACAGAGAAUACAUUUGGAAACCAUUUUAUUUCUCAAUUACCAACCAAAACGUAUGGAAAAGAUUUACACUCUAUCUGAUUUACACAAUAAUUAUACUUUGAAAGCUUAGAAAUAAAUGGCUUGAUCCCUGAAAUCAUUAGUUACUAUACCAAAUGUAAUUGGUGUAAACUAAUGAGUUUACUGGAUGGCUGACCCUUAAUUACUGAUUAUAGUUAAACUCUAGCCAAUCAAAAUUUCGUUUACUUAUAAAAGUACAGUGUACUAUUAACAAGCAUUACAUUUCCAAGCAAGCAGCUUUAUGAUUAGUUGUAGCACACAACUCAAGCCUGUUCAGGGCUAUCAAAAGCAGCUUUUUAAUAACAGUGCACUAAGCAACCAUCAUUCUCUUACCUCAGCUUCUAUCAGACAACAGAAAGAAACCACAUAAUUAAUCAUCUCAUGCAAUAGAAAUAAAGCAUCUGGGCCAUAUCCAGGUGGGAUAUACCCAGCCUUUUUAGUUCAAAGAGCUGCAAGAGGCUGGGGAUCUGCCUUAGGAUAGGAUAACUGACAUGGGGAAUUCUGGCUCUCUUGGGGGAGCAGUAUGGAGUAUGGAAAUGAAAUACUGAUUGAUUGAGUGCAGUCCCAUGUGAUGUGGAGAAACCUAUCAACAAAAUAGAUUUAAUAAUUCCUUAAAUUGCAGAAGAUUUCUUGGGCAGAUUCAGUAUGUCGUGAUGGGACAUAUGAUUCCUGUACUGGCAAUCCCAAAAAUCUAGAAGUCAUGAUUCCUCACUAUUUAUUAGUUCAAAUGGAGAAUGUUUUGGUUUUUUUUUUUUUUUUUAAUAAAAUGCUAAAUGGGAACAAAUUAUUUUUAUUUGUCUCUGCUUGAUCUUUAAGAACUAAUGUUUUGCCUAACCAGGAAGACUCAAAAUUCCUAGUAAAAAAGUUGAAAGCAGAUUUCUAUAUAGACCACGAUUCCAGAGUUGGAACUUAAAAGAGGUACACUAAAUAUUUUAAUAAAAUCAUGAGCCUUUACAAUGCGUACAGUCACAUCCUUAAAGAUACUUAGGUAAAUGACUCCAGUGAUUUAAAGAUGUGGAAAUUCUCCAUCUCCUAGAUCAUUCCUGUGAAUCCUAAACUUCAGAUAGGAGAUGGAUACCAGAAGUCACAAGCAGAAUAUCAGGUGCUAUGGAGGUUUUAGUUGGAAGAAUAUGUAUUUGCUGGAGCUCUGCACUCUGUGCUCUGCAGAUGACCCAACAGAUCUCACAGCUGCAAGGGUUAAUUCUGUCAUGAUUGCAGGUCUCUCCUAUUUCUGUUUUUCUCUAUGAACCUUACCUGCUGGCCCUUUGGAACAAGUACUGUAACGCUUGCCCACUUGUUAGUAUAAACAUUUUCUUAAAACUCAGAAAUUUAAGAAUGAAGUAGUUCUCAGAAUAUCUGCACAUGGGUUAAAGUGAAAUUUUUUAUUUACUGAAUUCCUGUUUGUGAGAUGUGUCUGGGGUCAAGAAAAGGUUAAAGUUGUUUACUGCCUUCAAGCUCUGGUCUUAGAAGUUAAUUCAGAACUGUGCUUUGAGCAGCUACAGAGAGUAGUAAGUCCUUGCAGCAGUGAAUUGCUGGUUUGAUGUCAAGGUCCAUGGGCCUUAAUCAUAAAAUUAGUUUGUUUCUUAAGGAAACCCUAGCAGGGACUUUAUGGUUAUAUAAGUCAUUAUACUUUUUUACAACACAGCUUUAAAGAUGCUUCAGAAUGAUCAGAGUUUGUAGGAAGGGAUCAUGGUUUUUAUUAUUUGUGGAGUAUCCUCAAGCUGUCAUAGCUACAGCACUGCCACUUGGAAUAGCUGCUUCACAGUUCAAAAGAAAAGACAAAGGAUUUGUUGAAGCCUAAGUCAGGCAAUUAGGGCAUAUCUGUCCAGAGAAAGCUCAUUGAAUUGAAUGGAUUCCAUGUACUUCCUGACAACUGACUCCAGUUUUGUAGGAUCUGUAUAUUUGGGGCAAUCAAGGUGUUUUAUUACAAUUCCACAAGAGCAGAUAGAGGGCCUAUGAAGCUCUACAAGCUCUGCUUUUCACAGUUCUCUGAUGGAGAAUUUAGGGGUGAUUUUGAAAAUCAUGGAAAAGGAGGAAGGCAUAUUUUCCAAAACCUUGAGAAAAGACAAAGGAAACACUAGACUACACAAAAACUUUGCUGUCCACCCUCUGCACAGCAGUGCUGGUAAGAACAAUGCUGCUAUUUCUGAAUUGCUAACACUAAGACAACAGCCUCCAAUGCAGAAGGGAGACAAGAACCAUUGUUUUAGGAGGAGGGGAGCACACUAGAGACAGGUUCUGAAAUGAGCCACUGUCACUUUGCUGCACUUGCAUACACCAGGCAAAAUUCUUCCAUCUUCAUCAGUCUCUUAGUGAAAUAGAAAUAAAACAAUUUUAACAGAAUGGUGUCACUGGAUCUGUGGCACCUGCUUUAAAAAUAAAUCUCUUAGCUUUGUCUUCACCAUUACUUUCAAUAAAUGUCCUAGCAUUGCCACAGCAUUUAUCUAGCAGCAGGAAACCAUUAUCCUAUGACAACAAUCUAUUCCAUUAACAUUAGCUCUUAAUUGUAAGAUUGUUUAUAAGACAGGAAAAGCUACUGAAUCAUAGUAGAAUGAUAAAAAGAGUUAUGGUCAUGGAGUAUAGUAGUCCCUCCAGUUAUGAAAAAUAACCUAGGAGUAGAAAGCUAUAUUUUUAUAUGAAAAAUAAUGUAAUAUUCUUAUGCAAUUUAAUGUUUUUAAAUAAUGGAUUACAUCAGGAAGGUAGCUAUUAAAGAGUUAAUGUUAAAAACUGUUAAUAAGAAACUCUUUCUUUGAUAAUGGUAUGGCUGUAAAACUAAAUAAAAGCCUAGAAACUCUCCUUCUUCAUUUUAUCAAUGCUGCACCAAGCCAGAGAAAUCAUAAUAACAGAAGCACAUUUGUCUGGUGGAGUGAACAGAAGAAAUGUUGCAGAAUUGAGAUAUGAAGAACCUCACUGCAGAAUAGAAGGAGAACUGUCAUUCUGAUUCUUUGUCAUUAUUGUUUCAUGUCCAGUUAAGUGAACUUAAAGUGACAGUUGUGUCAUAACUGCGGGCAUCUAUGUAAAUUUCAAAUCAAAUACGAUAGAGGCAUUUCUGCCAGACAGAAGUCACCAGGCUGCUCUUCCUCUUCAUUUUUGUAACCCUCCAUUUUCUCAUGCCAUUGCUGGUAGCCCUUAAAUUAAAAAGACAACUUCAA